GGUGUCAUAGCUCAGUUGGUAGAGCAAAGGACUGAAAAUCCUUGUGGCCCCGGAUCUAUUCCUGGUGACACCA
RNAcentral lists this transfer RNA (73 nucleotides) under Bacteroidaceae bacterium. RNAcentral describes it as "tRNA-Phe". It matches the Rfam family "tRNA". Rfam says of the family: Transfer RNA (tRNA) molecules are approximately 80 nucleotides in length. Lineage: Bacteria; Pseudomonadati; Bacteroidota; Bacteroidia; Bacteroidales; Bacteroidaceae. The record is from RNAcentral.